RNAcentral lists this ribosomal RNA (253 nucleotides) under uncultured bacterium. RNAcentral's name for it is "partial 16S ribosomal RNA". It matches the Rfam family "Bacterial small subunit ribosomal RNA", at positions 524 to 776 of the family's 1533-position model. The record is from RNAcentral.
UCCGUAGGGGGCUAGCGUUGUCCGGAAUCAUUGGGCGUAAAGCGCGUGUAGGCGGCCCGGUAAGUCCGCUGUGAAAGUCGGGGGCUCAACCCUCGAAUGCCGGUGGAUACUGUCGGGCUAGAGUACGGAAGAGGCGAGUGGAAUUCCUGGUGUAGCGGUGAAAUGCGCAGAUAUCAGGAGGAACACCCAUUGCGAAGGCAGCUCGCUGGGACGUUACUGACGCUGAGACGCGAAAGCGUGGGGAGCAAACAGG